AUUCGUGCCAGCAGUUGCGGUUAUACAAGUAAUAUGAUUUAAUUAUUUUAGUAUAAAUUAAUAGAAAUAAUAAAAUUAAAUUUUUAAUUAGAAUUUAGAAGGUGGAAUUUAAAAUUUUAAUAAAAUUAGAGAUUAGAAAUGAAGUUAAAAAAUUUAGUAAUUAAACUAGGAUUAGAUACCCUAUUAUUUUAAUUGUAAGUAAAAAAAGACUAAGUUAAUAAAAGUUAAGUUCUUAAAAAUUAAAAAUUUUGGCGGUAUUUUAGUCUAUUCAGAGGAACCUAUUUCUUAAUUGAUAAUCCACGAUUUAUAAUACUUUUAUUAAUUAAUUUGUAUAUCGUCGUAAUUAAAAUAUUUUAUAAGAAUAUUAAUAUUUAAAAUUUUUUAUUAAAAAAUAAAUCAGAUCAAGGUGCAGUUUAUAUAAAAGUGAAAAUGGGUUACAAUAAAUUUAUUUUUAAGAUUAUUAUUAUUAUAAUGAUAUGAAUUUGGAUUUGAAAGUAAAAUAAAUUAAUUAAUUAAUUUGAUUUAGCUCUAAAAUAUGCACACAUCGCCC
RNAcentral lists this ribosomal RNA (550 nucleotides) under Platyphora microspina. RNAcentral's name for it is "partial 12S ribosomal RNA". Lineage: Eukaryota; Metazoa; Arthropoda; Insecta; Coleoptera; Chrysomelidae. The record is from RNAcentral.